This 186-nucleotide ribosomal RNA is filed under the name Escherichia coli. RNAcentral's name for it is "partial 16S ribosomal RNA". It matches the Rfam family "Bacterial small subunit ribosomal RNA", at positions 1 to 180 of the family's 1533-position model. The record is from RNAcentral. Lineage: Bacteria; Pseudomonadati; Pseudomonadota; Gammaproteobacteria; Enterobacterales; Enterobacteriaceae.
AAAUUGAAGAGUUUGAUCAUGGCUCAGAUUGAACGCUGGCGGCAGGCCUAACACAUGCAAGUCGAACGGUAACAGGGAUCAGCUUGCUGAUUCGCUGACGAGUGGCGGACGGGUGAGUAAUGUCUGGGAAACUGCCUGAUGGAGGGGGAUAACUACUGGAAACGGUAGCUAAUACCGCAUAACGUC